AGCAUAGAGAGCUUGCUCUCUGAUGGCGAGUGGCGAACGGGUGAGUAAUAUAUCGGAACGUGCCUAGUAAUGGGGAAUAACUAGCUGAAAGGUUAGCUAAUGCCGCAUACGACCUACGGGUGAAAGCAGGGGAUCUUCGGACCUUGCGUUAUUAGAGCGGCCGAUAUCUGAUUAGCUUGUUGGUGGGGUAAUAGCCUACCAAGGCAACGAUCAGUAGCUGGUCUGAGAGGACGAUCAGCCACACUGGAACUGAGACACGGUCCAGACUCCUACGGGAGGCAGCAGUGGGGAAUUUUGGACAAUGGGGGCAACCCUGAUCCAGCCAUUCCGCGUGAGUGAAGAAGGCCUUCGGGUUGUAAAGCUCUUUCGCAAGAGAAGAAAACUUACUAUCUAAUAAAUAGUAAGUAUGACGGUAUCUUGACAAGAAGCACCGGCUAACUACGUGCCAGCAGCCGCGGUAAUACGUAGGGUGCAAGCGUUAAUCGGAAUUACUGGGCGUAAAGCGUGCGCAGGCAGUUUUAUAAGUCA
RNAcentral lists this ribosomal RNA (528 nucleotides) under uncultured Methylophilus sp. RNAcentral describes it as "bacterial SSU rRNA". It matches the Rfam family "Bacterial small subunit ribosomal RNA", at positions 68 to 590 of the family's 1533-position model. Lineage: Bacteria; Pseudomonadati; Pseudomonadota; Betaproteobacteria; Nitrosomonadales; Methylophilaceae. The record is from RNAcentral.